RNAcentral lists this ribosomal RNA (445 nucleotides) under uncultured bacterium. RNAcentral's name for it is "SSU rRNA". It matches the Rfam family "Bacterial small subunit ribosomal RNA", at positions 26 to 518 of the family's 1533-position model. The record is from RNAcentral.
AGAGCGAACGCUGGCGGCAGGCCUAACACAUGCAAGUCGAGCGCCGUAGCAAUACGGAGCGGCAGACGGGAGAGUAACACGUGGGAACGUACCCUUUGGUUCGGAACAACCCAGGGAAACUUGGGCUAAUACCGAAUAAGCCCUUACGGGGAAAGAUUUAUCGCCAUAGGAGGGGCCCGCGUCGGAUUAGGUAGUUGGUGGGGUAACGGCCUACCAAGCCUUCGAUCCGUAGCUGGUCUGAGAGGAUGAUCAGCCACACUGGGACUGAGAUACGGCCCAGACUCCUACGGGAGGCAGCAGUGGGGAAUAUUGGACAAUGGGGGCAACCCUGAUCCAGCAAUGCCGCGUGGAUGAUGAAGGCCUUCGGGUUGUAAAGUCCUUUCGGCGGGGAAGAUGAUGACGGUACCGCAGAAGAAGCCCCGGCUAACUUCGUGCCAGCAGCCGC